This 845-nucleotide long non-coding RNA is filed under the name Papio anubis (olive baboon). RNAcentral describes it as "lncRNA (ENSPANG00000049971.1)". Lineage: Eukaryota; Metazoa; Chordata; Mammalia; Primates; Cercopithecidae. The record is from RNAcentral.
ACCUAUUUGAAUGCCUUUUCUUUCUCUUGUUUGAUUGCUCUGGCAGACCUCCAGUGCUACGUUGAACACAGGUGGUGAGCAUCAGCAUCCGUGCCUUCAUCCAGUUCUCAAGAGGAAUGCUUCCAGCUUUUGCUUGUUCAGUAUGAUGUUGGCCGUGGGUUUUGUAUAGAUGGCUCCUAAUACUUUGAGGGGAAAGCAACCAUGAUGGGCAUGGAAUGAUUGUGUGAGUUCACAGAAGAGAGGAUUCCAGAGAGGGUGCAAGAUAUGACCAAAUACUGACACCGCUUCACCUCUACUCCAAAUAAUGCUUCUGUGCUACUUUUUAGACAUCUUAUUCUACACUUACAAGUGCGAUACAAUGAGAUUACAAGAAUGUGCUGAAACAAAACGUGAAUAGCAAGACUCAAAUCCGGCAGCCUGAUUUCUGCAAGACAAAGGCACUGAGACACCGAGUUGACUAACUACCUGAUUCUUCAAAAGCAAUGAGGUAAUUUUGAAAGAAACAGACUGGUUUCAGAACCUGUGUGCUUAAUCACUGUAUACACAGAACUAUCCCACUAGUGUAUCUUCCCAGUAAACCUAGCAAAAUACAUUUGUGACAUCAUAAUAGGAAAUGGUUCCUUAGGAAAGGCAUUAAUACUUGAAACAGUGAGGGAAAAUAUAGAUACAUUUCAACAAUUUAAGCAACUAUGUAACAAAAGACUACAAAGUUCAAGUGAAUGAGAAAUCUCAGACUUUUACGUAUGACCAUUUUAUCAAGUAAAAUGGCAAGUUUAUGAAGAAUUCCCACAAUGAAAAAAGGUAAAUCUUCCAAAGGAAAAAUAAGUAGAUAAUUUCAAAGGGAG